Molecule: non-coding RNA, 87 nt
Organism: Biomphalaria glabrata
Lineage: Eukaryota; Metazoa; Mollusca; Gastropoda; Planorbidae
Source: Rfam
GGAACAGUACUCAAGUGGUUAAGAGGUUUUCCUGCUAAGAAAAUAGGUCGGUUAAACGGCGCGUGAGUUCGAAUCUCACCUGUUCCG